UACGGAGGUUGCGAGCGUUGUUCGGAAUCACUGGGCUUAAAGCGCAUGUAGGCGGCUCAUCAAGUGCUUUGUGAAAUCCCUCGGCUCAACCGAGGAAUUGCUUGGCAUACUGUUCGAGCUUGAGGCAGGUAGGGGCGCGUGGAACUCUUGGUGGAGCGGUGGAAUGCGUAGAUAUCAAGAGGAACGCCGGUGGCGAAAGCGGCGCGCUGGGCCUGUCCUGACGCUGAGAUGCGAAAGCCAGGGGAGCAAACGGG
RNAcentral lists this ribosomal RNA (254 nucleotides) under uncultured bacterium. Its description in RNAcentral is "partial 16S ribosomal RNA". It matches the Rfam family "Bacterial small subunit ribosomal RNA", at positions 524 to 776 of the family's 1533-position model. The record is from RNAcentral.